RNAcentral lists this ribosomal RNA (467 nucleotides) under uncultured bacterium. RNAcentral describes it as "partial 16S ribosomal RNA". It matches the Rfam family "Bacterial small subunit ribosomal RNA", at positions 28 to 506 of the family's 1533-position model. The record is from RNAcentral.
GACGAACGCUGGCGGCGUGCUUAACACAUGCAAGUCGAACGGAAAGGCCCUGCUUUUGUGGGGUGCUCGAGUGGCGAACGGGUGAGUAACACGUGAGUAACCUGCCCUUGACUUUGGGAUAACUUCAGGAAACUGGGGCUAAUACCGGAUAGGAGCUCCUGCUGCAUGGUGGGGGUUGGAAAGUUUCGGCGGUUGGGGAUGGACUCGCGGCUUAUCAGCUUGUUGGUGGGGUAGUGGCUUACCAAGGCUUUGACGGGUAGCGGGCCGGAGAGGGUGACCGGCCACAUGGGAACGGGGAUAGGGCCCGGACGCCAGCGGGGGGCAGCGGUGGGGAAUAUGGCACAAGGGGCGGAGGCCGGAGGCGGCAAGGCGGGUGGGGGAAUAAGGGCCUUCGGGUGGGAAAACGCGUUCGCCUGUAACGAGGGGGGAGGAAGGGAAAGGGGUAAGGAGGCACCGGCAAACUAGGU